AUUGGGGACAUUUUGCAUCCAU
This 22-nucleotide microRNA is filed under the name Oryctolagus cuniculus (rabbit). RNAcentral describes it as "ocu-miR-450b-3p". Its record names the gene ocu-miR-450b-3p. Lineage: Eukaryota; Metazoa; Chordata; Mammalia; Lagomorpha; Leporidae. The record is from miRBase by way of RNAcentral.